AAAAUUCAAGCUUGGGGGAAAUACCUUACGUAAGAACAUCCUUUGCCAUGUUGCUAUGUUGGUUGUCCCUACUUUUGAGGCAUGCUCAAUUUUCUAAACACUAAACUUAUUUUUCAUCUCCACCUGAGUAGAUCUCUAUAAAUGCUGUCAUGCUACCUUUGUCUAUUCACAAGCAAGUGUCGGUUUGGAAGUACUCGACAUACUUCCAUUGGCAUUUAAAUUAAGCGUGGUGCUUAGGUUAAAUAGCCUUCCUUAAUCUGAUUAGACAUGGAGUCUAGUUUGGUUACUGAACUAAAAACUGCUUGAGUAGACAUUGGUAAAUUUUGUCGGACUAACCCCUGCAGGAAAACUUUCAAUAUCAACCUGGAAAGUCCUGAGAUACAAACUCACAUUGGAGACAAAGGAGACACAUAAAGUUUAACGAUUUGCACAAGGAAGACAUAGCUGAUUCAUCAUAGAGAGAUGAUCCAUGGAACGAGACAAAGAGUACCACAAACACGGUGCACAACUGCUAAGAAAGGAAAGCUUCCACAAGAUUCCACCAAGUGAAGGACUUGGAUCUACGAGCACAAACACACUGAGCAGGAUAGUGCCAAUGCCGCACCUCGAACUGCUGGACAAACAAAGAACAUGGGUGACACGGUAUCAAGAGGUGCAGAUGUCAAGGCCCACACCUAAUCAAAUGAUGCACCUAAAGGAUGAACACAGUGAGAAGUCUUGUCUAGAAGACUUAAAACAUUGGAUCCUUGCCGGAAGUUAAAAUCGGUAUUUAUCCAUAUUUAUCUUUUCUUGUAUUCCUUUUCCUUUUUUUUCCAUCACUUGCAUUAGCAUAUUUACGUUUCCACAUUAAGCAUUAGAAAAGAAAACAAAAAUAUUUGUUCAUUGCACUGCAUCAUAAAAUCUAAAGCCCCAUGUGAAUAGACUUGUGGUUUAAAACCCAUAGGUAUAUUGACUAUGGUGGCAUAAAAUAAAUAUGUUUUCAUCUUACAAUAAAAAUAUAAAAAUAAUAAGUGCAUGAUCCUGCUAAAUAAGUAAAAUUUAUUAGGAGGAAUCUCAAUAUGAUAAAAGGCUAAGAGAUUUUAUGCUAACACUUAACCAGUUCCACAAAGCUUUGUUGUCUAUUUGAGCUCCACGGAGUUCAAGGACCAAAGAAGACUUGUCGGCGGAGGACAUAGUAAUCGUUGUCAUGGUACUGCCGACAUUCAAAUACACCUCCGUCACCUGCUAGCUAAAUCAGAAGAAAUUAUGUCAAAAUCUAGCUUGGUGGAGAGCACCCCUAUUUAUGCAGCUAAGUGUUUAUACUUUACUCAAAUAAAAAGAUGCAUAAUCAUGAGAACCCAAAUAAAAAUUUUUGUGCUUAUAUAUAUCUUUGCUUAGUUUGCUAAAUAAAUAAAUAAAGUGUCUAGGCCAAACUGAACUUAAAUGAUAAACUCUUACAUGGAUAUGAUAAAUAGUUGCUCUGCCAUGUACCUAGUUUUCAAGUUUGAGCUCUCUCUCAAGUUUAGGCAUAACUGUUAUAAUUUAAACCUGCUCUAAACCUGAACUUGUGGGAAGAGUACUUGAUCUAAAGUCUAAGUCGUUAACGGAUACGAUAUGGAAAGGUUGAGCUGCUGUUUAUCUGUUCCUAGAGUUGCUAGAAUUCUGGAGAAUAUUAUCUUUGAAAAUCUUUAAAAUAUUGCAUGAUGAGUUCCUGUAUGAUAAGAGUUUAAAUUCCUACCACAGCCAUACAUACAUGCUUAUUAGACUAAGAACCAUACAUUUACUUUUUACUGCUUAUGAGCAUUGAGUGUGGUCAAGUUGUGUAGACCCUUAGGAGCUUGUCAUGCGGUUAAAAUCAAGAUUCACUUGCACGUUCACUCAUACAUGCUACUUCUACUCCGGAAGUACGCAUCCAUAUACAUCCACUCAAUUCCAUCUCUAGAUUCACCUAAAAUUAUUCUACUCCUAUCCGAGAGAGAAUAGCCAAAAAACUUUUUCAUAUCCCUGUUUUUCCCUGUGAAAUAAAUGCUUGAGUUAUCUUGGUUACUACCACUUGCUAUAUUAUUUCAGGAGAUGAGUGCUCUUAAAAAAAAGAAAAAAAAGAAAAAAAAAAGAGAAAGGAUACGAGGAAAUAAAAAGGGGCAAGUGCCCAGAACCUCGAAGAAAAGAAAAAGUGCAAGAUACCCACCUGAGAGGAAAGAAAAAGAAAAAUAAAAUAUAGAGCAUCUCAUUCUCCUCAAAAAGCUUCAAAGUGCAAGAAAGAUAUGUAUCCCCUUAAAAGAGCAAAAGGAGAAUUAGGCUUUCACCAUUGUUAUCAUCAUACACCAUUCAUUCGCCACACAUGCACAUCUUGAUUUGAUUUUUUGACUUGUUUCUCUGGAUCCAUGGUUUGACUAUGCAAUAAAUGUCUUGUAAGUAUGUAUGCUUUAUCUCCCACCUAUGAGCUCCAGAUAUCAAAAACUUAUUAGAGUAGGGUGAGAGAGAAGGCAAUAUCAUUAUGCCUCAUACCAAAAAUACCACAUACUUUGAGAGAAGGCAU
Molecule: long non-coding RNA, 2518 nt
Filed under: Sorghum bicolor (sorghum)
Lineage: Eukaryota; Viridiplantae; Streptophyta; Magnoliopsida; Poales; Poaceae
Description: long non-coding RNA (SBIC_LNC010588)
Source: RNAcentral